RNAcentral lists this ribosomal RNA (673 nucleotides) under bacterium SCSIO13171. RNAcentral's name for it is "bacterial SSU rRNA". It matches the Rfam family "Bacterial small subunit ribosomal RNA", at positions 56 to 724 of the family's 1533-position model. The record is from RNAcentral.
UGCAAGUCGAGCGGUAGAGAGAAGCUUGCUUCUCUUGAGAGCGGCGGACGGGUGAGUAAUGCCUAGGAAUCUGCCUGGUAGUGGGGGAUAACGUUCGGAAACGGACGCUAAUACCGCAUACGUCCUACGGGAGAAAGCAGGGGACCUUCGGGCCUUGCGCUAUCAGAUGAGCCUAGGUCGGAUUAGCUAGUUGGUGGGGUAAUGGCUCACCAAGGCGACGAUCCGUAACUGGUCUGAGAGGAUGAUCAGUCACACUGGAACUGAGACACGGUCCAGACUCCUACGGGAGGCAGCAGUGGGGAAUAUUGGACAAUGGGCGAAAGCCUGAUCCAGCCAUGCCGCGUGUGUGAAGAAGGUCUUCGGAUUGUAAAGCACUUUAAGUUGGGAGGAAGGGCAGUAAAUUAAUACUUUGCUGUUUUGACGUUACCGACAGAAUAAGCACCGGCUAACUCUGUGCCAGCAGCCGCGGUAAUACAGAGGGUGCAAGCGUUAAUCGGAAUUACUGGGCGUAAAGCGCGCGUAGGUGGUUUGUUAAGUUGGAUGUGAAAUCCCCGGGCUCAACCUGGGAACUGCAUUCAAAACUGACUGACUAGAGUAUGGUAGAGGGUGGUGGAAUUUCCUGUGUAGCGGUGAAAUGCGUAGAUAUAGGAAGGAACACCAGUGGCGAAGGCGA